GCCGAUGUGGCGGAAUUGGCAGACGCACUUGACUCAAAAUCAAGCGGUUAACAGCCGUGCCGGUUCGAGUCCGGCCAUCGGCA
RNAcentral lists this transfer RNA (83 nucleotides) under Ruminococcus sp. RNAcentral's name for it is "tRNA-Leu". It matches the Rfam family "tRNA". From Rfam's summary of the family: Transfer RNA (tRNA) molecules are approximately 80 nucleotides in length. Their secondary structure includes four short double-helical elements and three loops (D, anti-codon, and T loops). Further hydrogen bonds mediate the characteristic L-shaped molecular structure. tRNAs have two regions of fundamental functional importance: the anti-codon, which is responsible for specific mRNA codon recognition, and the 3' end, to which the tRNAs corresponding amino acid is attached (by aminoacyl-tRNA synthetases). tRNAs cope with the degeneracy of the genetic code in two manners: having more than one tRNA (with a specific anti-codon) for a particular amino acid; and 'wobble' base-pairing, i.e. permitting non-standard base-pairing at the 3rd anti-codon position. RNAcentral also lists the same sequence under 5 other names. The record is from RNAcentral. Lineage: Bacteria; Bacillati; Bacillota; Clostridia; Eubacteriales; Oscillospiraceae.